Molecule: long non-coding RNA, 1471 nt
Filed under: Crocodylus porosus (Australian saltwater crocodile)
Lineage: Eukaryota; Metazoa; Chordata; Crocodylia; Crocodylidae
Description: lncRNA (ENSCPRG00005006633.1)
Source: RNAcentral
CUGAAAUCCUGAAGGAUGAAACUAGUCUGUGAGCCCAAGGAGUUUGGGAACCACUUCCUAGAGCAUGUCUCAAAGAUAGCCAACCUCCUGGUUUAAAGACCUCCACAUGAAUAACUUGAGUUUGCCAUAAAGCACUAGUUACUUUUUGCAGGAAUUUUUGAUAGUUUAUUUCCUGAAAACCCAAGUCUUUUCACAAAAAUAAAGUUAAGGUUUUUAAAAAUUUGAAAAAUGGUUUGACGACAAACUCUGAGGUGGUUCUUGAAUGAAACAUCGAUUUUGGUCUAAGUUAUUUAUUUUCACAGUUCAAGAGUUGUCUUUUAGUUCUAGUUUGGAUUUUUCUUAUGCCACCUUCCAACUACCGGAUCUUGUUAUGCCUUUGUCUGUUAACUUGGAGAGAGACCUUCUUUUCUGGGUAGGUACUUGACUUAAAAACUAAGGUCUUUUUCUGCACUCAGUCUUGUCCCCACCCCCAUCUGUGAAGCAACGAUGAAGCCUAUAUGAACACUAAAAUAUAAAACCUUGGCUUUCCUGUGUCUGAGAUGAGUCAGAACUUCCUGAUUAUUGCCAGCUCUCACAAACUGCUUCUCUGUAAGUAACACCAUAAGAAUUGCAAUUCAAGUGUAAUACGAGUGAAAGUACUAUAGAUUGAAUUCUAUAGUCUCUUACAGCUUUCAGCAUCAGGGCUCUGAGUGUACCAACCAGACAGUACUUCAUACUGUCUCUAUGGAGUGACCUCAGUAGCGUCCCCCGUCUUCUGAAUGGAAUCAAAGUAGGCUGGGAUUGUAGGUAACCAAAAGAUUUGGAAUGGCAGUGACUCACAACUGUUCACACUUGGAAAGAUGCACUUUUCCCAGCUCAUUUAUGGCUUGUCCCAUGAAGCCACGGGAAUGCUGGGAGAAGGACUGCCCAAGAAGAGACUGGAGCCCCGAGUCUCCCCUUGCUUGCACUGAGGGCAAAGUUGGCCCCACAUUUUGCCAUGAAUUUGAUAUUUUCACCCAUGGUUUUCCUCAUUGGAGUACUGAAUAUGACCUGGAGGAUAUGUGUUGAUGGUCCUAGAGAGACACCAGUCAGAUUUGGGAAAUUACUUCUUCUCACGGAGAAAACGAAAAAUGAGGUUUGAUUUUCUUUUUACUAUUGCUUUGCUUCAAAAGUAUUGCCUUAUAAUUUAACACAUCUGAAUUUUUUCUAUGCAGGAAACAUGUUGCUUCGGUUUUAGUCAAUGAGUGAAAACUUCUAAAUAAUCUAAAGGGUUACCAUAGGUGUAAUGAGACCACCCGGGUGGUUGAUGUGCUUCUUGGAAAGCAGUCGAAACAUUAUAGAAUGGUCCAUGAGAUGAAAGGAAUAUGGCAAUGCGGCCAUUGGCAGUUGGAUAGAGGUACUGAAUAGUGGGUGGUAUCAAUACUGAUUAAAUGGGUGGAGUUAUGAACUGAUGAGGGAAAAGGCUCUACUCAUUAACAAAAUCUUGAAGGUG